AGAAACUUAGGUUAGACCAAACCAAGGGCCUUCAAAGCCCUAAACAAGAGCCAAACCCUCUUAGUUUCUG
Molecule: transfer RNA, 70 nt
Filed under: Plestiodon fasciatus
Lineage: Eukaryota; Metazoa; Chordata; Lepidosauria; Squamata; Scincidae
Also listed under: 1 other name
Description: tRNA-Trp
Rfam family: tRNA
About the family: Transfer RNA (tRNA) molecules are approximately 80 nucleotides in length. Their secondary structure includes four short double-helical elements and three loops (D, anti-codon, and T loops). Further hydrogen bonds mediate the characteristic L-shaped molecular structure. tRNAs have two regions of fundamental functional importance: the anti-codon, which is responsible for specific mRNA codon recognition, and the 3' end, to which the tRNAs corresponding amino acid is attached (by aminoacyl-tRNA synthetases). tRNAs cope with the degeneracy of the genetic code in two manners: having more than one tRNA (with a specific anti-codon) for a particular amino acid; and 'wobble' base-pairing, i.e. permitting non-standard base-pairing at the 3rd anti-codon position.
Source: RNAcentral